UCUGCCCUUCAGUCCGGGACAACUUUCCGAAAGGGGAGCUAAUACCGGAUAACAAUGUUUGACAUAAGUUGAAUAUUUGAAAGCUCCGGCGCUGAUGGAUGAGUCUGCGUCCCAUUAGCUUGUUGGUGCGGUAGCGGCGCACCAAGGCUACGAUGGGUAGCGGGUUUGAGAGGACGAUCCGCCACACUGGAACUGAGACACGGUCCAGACUCCUACGGGAGGCAGCAGUGGGGAAUAUUGCACAAUGGAGGAAACUCUGAUGCAGCAAUGCCGCGUGAGUGAAGAAGGCCCUUGGGUCGUAAAGCUCUUUUAUGGGGGAAGAUGAUGACGGUACCCCAGGAAUAAGCACCGGCUAACUACGUGCCAGCAGCCGCGGUAAUACGUAGGGUGCGAGCGUUGUUCGGAAUUACUGGGCGUAAAGGGCGCGCAGGCGGAGGUGCAAGUCGGAGGUGAAAGCCCGGGGCUCAACCCCGGAGGGUCUUUCGAAACUGCAUCUCUAGAGAGGGUCAGGGGCCGGCAGAAUUCCUGGUGUAGAGGUGAAAUUCGUAGAUAUCAGGAGGAAUACCGGUGGCGAAAGCGGCCGGCUGGGGCCACUCUGACGCUGAGGCGCGAAAGCGUGGGGAGCAAACAGGAUUAGAUACCCUGGUAGUCCACGCCGUAAACGAUGAGCACUGAACGUUCGGAGGGUUCGACCCUUCUGGGUGUUUCAGCUAACGCAUUAAGUGCUCCG
Molecule: ribosomal RNA, 730 nt
Filed under: uncultured SAR324 cluster bacterium
Lineage: Bacteria; Deltaproteobacteria
Description: bacterial SSU rRNA
Rfam family: Bacterial small subunit ribosomal RNA
Source: RNAcentral